Molecule: long non-coding RNA, 511 nt
Organism: Apis laboriosa (Himalayan honeybee)
Lineage: Eukaryota; Metazoa; Arthropoda; Insecta; Hymenoptera; Apidae
Exons: 3
Source: RefSeq, a predicted model, not a curated record
UGAUAUACACAGUGUGGCAACAAAAUAAUGGAAAUAAUGAUAAAAUAAGUAAUAAUUUAUUACACAUGGAAAAUGGGGAAAAUUGUUAUUUUUUUCUUGGAGGAUUCUUCAAGCUCAAAAAAAAAAAAAAUGUAUUCAGAAUUAUGAGUAUAGAAUAGUGAAGUGUAACGUUUUUGUAACUGGAUUUUUGUAUGCAUGCAUAAAAUAUAUAUGAUUUGAAUUAUCUUUAAUAAUUAAGGAGGAAACGUUUUAAUGAAGUUCACUGAUUAUAAGUGUAAGAAUUUAUUAGACCAUGAGAAUUUUACAUCACUACUCACUUCGGAGAAAAUAUUUAAAAAAAAAAAAAAAAUCGUGUAAAAACAUUACAUCUUCAUAUAACACAGAAUGAAGUAAAAUGCAUAAAAUAUAUCAAUAUGAUACAAUAGAAGAACGAAAAUUCCUCGAAAGAAUCGAGUCAAUGACCGAGCGUCAUAAACUUAGCAUUGCUUCCCAUAAUGAAAGGUUGUUUAUU